RNAcentral lists this long non-coding RNA (1231 nucleotides) under Equus caballus (horse). Its description in RNAcentral is "lncRNA (ENSECAG00000045547.1)". Lineage: Eukaryota; Metazoa; Chordata; Mammalia; Perissodactyla; Equidae. The record is from RNAcentral.
GAAAAAUCCACCACUUCUACUGUGAAUUUCCAGCUGUUGUGAAGCUGGUAUGAGGAGACGUUGCUGUUUUUGAGACCACAGUGUUCAUCAGCAGCAUCCUACUUCUCCUCCUCCCCAUCUUGCUGGUUUCUGCAUCCUAUGCCUUCAUCCUCCACAGCCUCAUUCAGAUGCGUGCAGCUGGGAAGUCAAGAAAAGAGCCUGACAUGAACUAACUGCUCAAUAACUAUUUGUUGCAUGGGUUAAUAAAUGAAAAGGACCUGGAUUAUUUUACUGUCCCACAUGACAUUCAAGUUCAAAUUGCGUGAAAAUUAUCUGUUUCCUGAAGAUUUGAUGAAAUUCCCAUGUGAACCUAUCUGGACCUAGAGCCUUUUUGGGUGGGUAGCCCUUUGAAAUCUUUAAACACUAUUAAAACCUUAAAAGAAAUCUAUCUUCAAUUCUCAAAAUGCUCCAUUAUCCUCGUACAAGUGCAUGUAACACAUGCUUUCUCUUCUUCUUGGGGCAUCAGUCUUUCCUUCUACAUCUGACUAUCAACACCUGUCUCUAGACUGAGCUUGAAUCGUCUCACCUGAGUAGCAUUCCUUGUCUUUGUAAGGCUUAUUGACUCCUUAUGUCCCCAGUACAUCCUACUUAUAUUUCUAUAAUCACUUUUUAUACUUUAUUGGAAUUUUUCUUUACUUUCCUGCUUAUAUCAUUAGGCUGGAGAUGUUUGACGGAAACGUGGUUUAUUUGAAAGAGAAUAAGAUUUGGAGUUAGAAUAGUAUUGAAAUUUGGGCUCUUCCACUUAUUAGGGGGUCUAACAUUAAUCAAUUUCAUUCAUAAAAAUUAUUAAAAACUUGGAAAUAAUGUAAGAAGAUGACUGAAUGUCCUUUCAUUGGCAUACCAUAGCAUCAUCUAACCAGCCAACCUAAGGCUUAUUCAUUUAUCUAGAACAAUGUAUCUGUUUGACUUUAUGAUUUACUAUUUGAUUAGAACCCAAACAUUGUGCAGUUAUAUGUUAAUCUGUAGAUUUCUGUCCAGGAGAAAGAUAAAGCAGAGAUUACAGUUUUAUUGACCUUUAGGAUCUUAACCAUUUUCUAUAUAACCUAACAACCUUGAUCUAACAUUCUUUGGUUGAUGUUGUGUUGUCAAAUCUGCUUUUACUGAUAAACUAUAUAAUCCCCUGUUUCCCAAAAAGGGUUUGUGAUUCUUGGAACCACUUUGAUCAUCUCAAUGUUUUCCACAUUACUUAGUU